UGGGGAAUAUUGCACAAUGGGCGCAAGCCUGAUGCAGCCAUGCCGCGUGUAUGAAGAAGGCCUUCGGGUUGUAAAGUACUUUCAGCGGGGAGGAAGGGAGUAAAGUUAAUACCUUUGCUCAUUGACGUUACCCGCAGAAGAAGCACCGGCUAACUCCGUGCCAGCAGCUGCGGUAAUACGGAGGGUGCAAGCGUUAAUCGGAAUUACUGGGCGUAAAGCGCACGCAGGCGGUUUGUUAAGUCAGAUGUGAAAUCCCCGGGCUCAACCUGGGAACUGCAUCUGAUACUGGCAAGCUUGAGUCUCGUAGAGGGGGGUAGAAUUCCAGGUGUGGCGGUGAAAUGCGUAGAGAUCUGGGGGAAUACCGGUGGCGAAGGCGGCCCCCUGGACGAAGACUGACGCUCAGGUGCGAAAGCGUGGGGAGCAAACAGG
This 429-nucleotide ribosomal RNA is filed under the name Chloroflexota bacterium. Its description in RNAcentral is "Chloroflexi bacterium partial 16S ribosomal RNA". It matches the Rfam family "Bacterial small subunit ribosomal RNA", at positions 355 to 776 of the family's 1533-position model. Lineage: Bacteria; Bacillati; Chloroflexota. The record is from RNAcentral.